RNAcentral lists this unclassified non-coding RNA (343 nucleotides) under soil metagenome. Its description in RNAcentral is "partial contains 5.8S ribosomal RNA, internal transcribed spacer 2, and large subunit ribosomal RNA". The stretch from base 1 to 120 matches the Rfam family "5.8S ribosomal RNA", at positions 35 to 154 of the family's 154-position model. The record is from RNAcentral.
GAUGAAGAACGUAGCGAAAUGCGAUAAGUAAUGUGAAUUGCAGAAUCCAGUGAAUCAUCGAAUCUUUGAACGCACAUUGCGCCCGCCAGCAUUCUGGCGGGCAUGCCUGUUCGAGCGUCAUUUCAACCCUCGACCUCCCUUUGGGGAAGUCGGCGUUGGGGACCGGCAGCACACCGCCGGCCCUGAAAUGGAGUGGCGGCCCGUCCGCGGCGACCUCUGCGUAGUAAUCCAACUAGCACCGGAACCCCGACGCGGCCACGCCGUAAAACACCCAACUUCUGAACGUUGACCUCGAAUCAGGUAGGACUACCCGCUGAACUUAAGCAUAUCAAUAAGCGGAGGA